GCGCGAGUAGCUCAACUGGAUAGAGCGACGGCCUCCGGAGCCGUAGGUUGCGGGUUCAACUCCCGCCUCACGCACCA
This 77-nucleotide transfer RNA is filed under the name Limisphaerales bacterium. RNAcentral's name for it is "Verrucomicrobia subdivision 3 bacterium (hot springs metagenome) tRNA-Arg". It matches the Rfam family "tRNA". Rfam says of the family: Transfer RNA (tRNA) molecules are approximately 80 nucleotides in length. Their secondary structure includes four short double-helical elements and three loops (D, anti-codon, and T loops). Lineage: Bacteria; Pseudomonadati; Verrucomicrobiota; Verrucomicrobiia; Limisphaerales. The record is from RNAcentral.